This is a long non-coding RNA of Spinacia oleracea (spinach), 781 nucleotides long. RefSeq lists it as uncharacterized. The transcript is spliced from 2 exons. NCBI's taxonomy places the organism in Eukaryota, Viridiplantae, Streptophyta, Magnoliopsida, Caryophyllales, Amaranthaceae. The record is from RefSeq and is a predicted model, not a curated record.
AGAAAACAUGGAAAUAUUUCUGAAUCCAUUCUUGGUUGGAUGAUUGGAGGGAAGUAGAGGGGACGGAAGAGAGAAAAAGGGUGAGGGGGUAUAAAUGAGGUUUAAGUGGGAUACAUUAUUUUUCUAUUAUUUUUCUUUUAUUUUUCUGUGGCAAGGCCAUACAGUCUCAAAUUCUAAAUAAUGAAGUAUAUAUACGGAGUACGUCGUAUUGCGAAAAUUCUUCAGUGCAUGGAAUUUAUGGUGGGACCCAGUACAUUCUCAGCCAGACAGAUGGUGCUUGGACCCCCCUUUUAUUUUCUACUCCGUAAUAUUUUGAUAAAUAUAAUUUCUGAAAUUCAUUUCUAUGAUACGGAGUACUUGUACGGAGUAAUAAUUUAGAAAAUUCAGGAAAAUUCUCUAUAGAAAUUCAUGAAAAAAAAGUUACAGUGAUCAAAAAUUUCUGAGUAAUAACCCAGAUAUCAUUUCUACGAACAAUGAGAGAGAAACACCAUUGGCGAUUUGGCGCCGCACAACACUCCAGGCCUCCGAUUUCGUUCUCCGGCCAUUACGCCCAACGGCGAGUGAAACCCUGAAAUCCUGAAGGUUAGUCGAAUAUGAAGGUGGAGCGGAUAAUUUUUGCUGACGGAUUCCGAAAAGUUCAAGACCAUGAUCGAUGAAAAAGAUUGAUCAUUGAUUUCAACAUUUAACUUCUAGUCAUGGGUUUAGCUUUCAUAUGGUAUUCUAUUUUAUUAUUGUUAUAAAUGAAUGACCUUUUAGGCUUUAAUGUUGAUUUGUAUGACAA